AAACUCCGCAAUGCGCGCAAGCGUGACGGGGGGAUUCUGAGUGCUUCGGUUUCACCGAGGCUUUUCGUGAGGGUAAAGACCUCGCGGAAUAAGUGGUGGGCAAGACCGGUGCCAGCCGCCGCGGUAACCCCGGCGCCACAAGUGGGAACCACGAUCAUUGGGUCUAAAGCAUCCGUAGCCGGCUCGCUAAAUGCCCUGUGAAAUCGUUCCGCUCAACGGGACGGCGCGCAGGGUAGACUGGCGAGCUUGGGACCAGGAAAAGUAGGCGGUAUUCAGUGGGGAGCGGUAAAAUGCUAUAAUCCGCUGAGGACCACCAAUGGCGAAGGCAGCCUACUAGAAUGGAUUCGACGGUGAGGGAUGAAAGCUAGGGGAGCGAUCCGGAUUAGAUACCCGAGUAGUCCUAGCCGUAAACGCUGCGUGCCAGAUGUUGCACCAUCCUCGUGAUGGUGCAGUGUCGCAACGAAGGUGUUAAGCACGCCACCUGGGAAGUACGGUCGCAAGGCUGAAACUUAA
RNAcentral lists this ribosomal RNA (513 nucleotides) under uncultured archaeon. RNAcentral describes it as "bacterial SSU rRNA". It matches the Rfam family "Archaeal small subunit ribosomal RNA", at positions 345 to 859 of the family's 1478-position model. The record is from RNAcentral.